UACGUAGGUGACAAGCGUUGUCCGGAUUUACUGGGCGUAAAGAGCGCGCAGGCGGUCGUUCAAGUCGAGUGUGAAAGCCCCCGGCUCAACUGGGGAGGGUCAUUCGAUACUGAUCGACUCGAAGGCAGGAGAGGGUAGUGGAAUUCCCGGUGUAGUGGUGAAAUGCGUAGAUAUCGGGAGGAACACCAGUGGCGAAGGCGACUACCUGGCCUGUUCUUGACGCUGAGGCGCGAAAGCUGGGGGAGCAAACGGG
RNAcentral lists this ribosomal RNA (253 nucleotides) under uncultured bacterium. RNAcentral's name for it is "partial 16S ribosomal RNA". It matches the Rfam family "Bacterial small subunit ribosomal RNA", at positions 524 to 776 of the family's 1533-position model. The record is from RNAcentral.